GUCAUUCAAUUGGUUAGGCUGCCGCCCUGUCACGGUCCCGACUGAGUCGGGACGGGUUCGAGUCCCGUCCAGA
This 73-nucleotide transfer RNA is filed under the name Neolewinella aquimaris. Its description in RNAcentral is "Lewinella aquimaris tRNA-Asp". The record is from RNAcentral. Lineage: Bacteria; Pseudomonadati; Bacteroidota; Saprospiria; Saprospirales; Lewinellaceae.